Molecule: non-coding RNA, 3473 nt
Organism: Zootoca vivipara (common lizard)
Lineage: Eukaryota; Metazoa; Chordata; Lepidosauria; Squamata; Lacertidae
Source: RefSeq, a predicted model, not a curated record
CAGUUGCCGGCUCAGCCGCCCCUCUUCCUGCAGCUGCUGGAGGUAGCCUGAGUAGAGGAAAGCCAGGGUGGCAGCACAGGAAGGCUCCACCAGCAUGCGCUCGUCAUCUGGAAAGGGAUGAGAAAUAAGGGAGUACUGUGCCGAAAUCCCAAGGGAGCAGAAAAGACUACAGUGGUACCUCGACUUCCAAAUGCCUCGACUUACGAAGGUUUCGACUUACGAAGUCAGCAAACCCGGAAGUAUUUUCGCCACGCGUGUGUUCUACGCCUGUGCAGAAGCGGCAUGCUCUGUCUGCGCAGGCGCAAAGCACAAAAUCGCACUUUGCGCUUGCGCAAAAUGGACGCUUCAACAUCCAAAGGUUUCAACUUACGAAGAGCGCCACGGAACGGAUCACCUUCGUAAGUCCAGGUACCACUGUAUUUUUGUCUGCAACCACAGCUGUGUGGUUGGCCCAGAGAUGGGAAAAAAGAUAAAGUCCCAACCAGAGAAGAAUGGCAGAUCAAGUUGCUGAAUUAUGCCAAAAUGGCUAAAAUGACCGGAAAAAUCAGAAACCAGGAAGACCAAAAUUUUAAUAAGGAAUGGGGGAAAUGUAUAAUUUAUCUUAAAAACCAUCGCAAACAGUUAAAAUUGUUAGUAGGAUCGGAAUGACACUUGUAGUUUAAUGGUGAAUUUUGGACACAAUAGAGAGGUAAAAGAUUUGGAUUAUCAUAAAAGAUGCAGGAGGAAAUGAUUAACAAUAGGACUCACAAAGGGGAGGAGGGAAGUCCAGGAGAUUCCAUGGAAUCUUGUUUUUAUGUUGCAUGUUGAAUAUGUGACUGUAAAAUUUUAAUCUGAAAAACCAAAUAAAUAGCAGCAACUCCUGACCAGUUGCACUGAUCCCAAAUCCCAGGAGGAUCUAUUAGUUGGUUUUAUUUAUUGUUAUAUCCACUCAUUCUGUUCUGAAUAAUGCCUUUUUGUAGGGAAAGGUUGGGGGAACUGGGGAUGAGUUUAUGAAAGCAAAGGGACAGUGGCCUGAAAAGGUUUGGGAAGCUAUGAGUUAUCUCUCUGAUCUCUACUGACAGAUUCUCUGAUGCAGUAUAAAAACGAGAGCUCCUACAAGCCACUAGAGGGAGCUGUCUGCCUAUCAGUUGCCUGCCUUCACCACAGCUCUAUGCUUCCAGUGUUUCAGGGUUAACAUUGCAUUAAAUGUGGAGCAUGCAAGUGUGGUCAGUGAUUUAAAAAUAAAAUAAAGUUAAUAUUAAUUGUUCGGGGUGGCAAUUUUCAUCAGAACCACAGGGGGAUAUCACUGUUUGCCACACCUUUGAAAACUCACCCAGGAACUGCUCAAUGGCUUUCACCGCUUCCACAUCAUCUAGCACAUGAGAGAUGAUGCAACACUCGCGGGCACAAUCCAGAGCCCUCUGUGCCACUGUCUUGGCUCCCAGGCACAUGGCCACACUGCAGAAUCGACAGUAAAUAGCAAGACCUACAGGUAUGAGUGGCAUACAAAUCAUCGCCAUCACCACCAUCGUCAUCAUCGCCUGUGAGGUGACAGACCAGCUCCACUGGGACUCCAAUCCCCAUCAGGCUGCCUCAGUGGGAGAGGUGGGAAGUGGGGCUCAUCCUAUCAGCUUCACCAAAAAACCAGCUGCAUCAGGUAGCUCCUGCCCCUGAACUGCACCAGUUGCUCAUUAUAACAGGGAUCAGCAAACUUUUUACAGCAGGGGGCCGGUCCCCUGUCCCUCAUACCUUGUGGGAGGCAGGACUAUAUUUUGAAAAAUAAUAAUGAACAAAUUCCUAUGCCCCACAAAUAACCCAGCGAUGCAUUUUAAAUAAAAGGACACAUUCUACUCAUGUAAAAACACGCUGAUUCUCAGACCAGAUUAAGAAGGCGAUUGGGCCGGAUCCAGCCCCCGGGCCUUAGUUUGCCUACCCAUGCAUUAUAACAACUGUUCAAGAAUUGUUGCCCAAGUUUGAUUCCAGCCCCCUCUCCACACAGCCUGCCCCCCUUCCCCUUGUGUGACGUGGGUUGUUGUUGUUUUAAUUGUAAGCUUGUGGGCAGAGAGAGCUGUCUCCUUUUAACUGAUUGUCAUAUAGCUCAGUUGGUAGAGCACAAGACUCUUAAACUUGGGAUCAUGGGUUCGAGCCCCACGUUGGGCAAAAGAUUCCUGCAUUGCAGGGGUUGGACUAGAUGACCCAUGUGCUCCCUUCCAACGUUACAGCUCUGUGAUUCUACAUUCUGGGAGACUUUUUGGCUGAAAAGUUGGGUAUGAAUGCUACAAACAAACAAACAAACAAACAAACAACCCUUUUCAGGAUGGAACUCUAGACCAGCGUUUCUCAACUGCUGUUCCGCGGCACACUACUGUGCCGCGAGACGCUGGCUGGUGUGCCGUGACGUGCGGCUUGUUUCCCGGGGAACGGCAAACCCUCACCAGCCAGAAGCCUCGGCUCAAGGCUCGCGAGAGCGCAAACCUGGCUGACGAGAGAAAGCUCCACUUCUGCCACCCCCGCACACCGUUGAGGGAAAGGGAGCCAGAGAAAGGACUACAGUUCCCAGGGGCUCCUUUCGGGCAACUGUUCUCGCCGCUUGCUCUCGCGAGAUGGCCCGGCGCCACUCUGUUCCCCAACCCCACCUCUCGCAAGUUCGCGCUCGCUUGCUGCGCGGUGGUUGAAUGUGGGGCGGUGGCGGCGAUGGCAGCGCGCUCCGCUGCCUCGUCGUCUCCUCCGACGGAGCUGUCCUUGUCGCCGUUCGUCCGGAAGCUCCGUAAGUGGUGGAUCCUCCGAAGCCCCUCUCCCUUUCAGGCUAGCGGAGACGAGCACGCUGGAGCCGCAGCCGCUGCUUCUAGGGGCGCCGGAAUGAGCGGCAGAGGGGAACUUUCUUCCAGGUGUGCCUCGUGAUUUUUUUCAUGUAACAAGUGUGCCUUGGCCCAAAAAAGGUUGAGAAACACUGCUCUAGACAGUAUAACAAGAGUUACCAGGAGGUCUCCAUUGAGGCACUGAAGAGACCGAGAUCCUGCUUUGCUUCAGUAAGGCAACUUAUUGGAACCAGCCUACCUUUUGUACCACAGCUAAAAAAAUAGGAGGAGGUAGAAGAGGGAGAUUAGUUUUGAUAGCUUAGUUGGUUAGAGCAUGGUGCUAAGAAUGCCAAGGUUGCAGGUUUGAUCCCUGUACGGGACAGCUGCAUAUUCCUGCAUUGCAGGGGGCUAGACUAGGUGAACAUCAGGGCCCCUUCCAACUCUCUGAAGUGAGAUGAGGAAGUCCCUUUAAUGGCAAACUUAGGUGGGGAGUGCUAACAGGUGAACCCAAAACAGGGACCCUGGGGAACAAGAAGGAAGCAUCAGCAUGCUCAGGAUAACCCUGAAGAUUUCAGGGUCCAAACUUUUUUUUUAAGGGAGGAGAAGAAAGAAGGAGAACAUUUUGUCUCAAGAUCAAUGCUCUUUCCUUCAAACUGGGGUUGCUGCCAUCUCCAGUGCACACUACUCACCUGGUUA